GAUGAACGCUAGCGAUAGGCUUAACACAUGCAAGUCGAGGGGCAGCAUGGUCUUAGCUUGCUAAGACUGAUGGCGACCGGCGCACGGGUGCGUAACGCGUAUGCAACUUGCCUCACAGAGGGGGAUAACCCGUCGAAAGACGGACUAAUACCGCGUACACUCCAUCUUGGGCAUCCAAGGUAGAGGAAAUGAAAUUCGCUGUGAGAUAGGCAUGCGUCCCAUUAGCUAGUUGGUGAGGUAACGGCUCACCAAGGCGACGAUGGGUAGGGGAACUGAGAGGUUGAACCCCCACACUGGUACUGAGACACGGACCAGACUCCUACGGGAGGCAGCAGUGAGGAAUAGUGGUCAAUGGGCGAGAGCCUGAACCAGCCAAGUCGCGUGAAGGAUGACUGUCUUAUGGAUUGUAAACUUCUUUUAUACGGGAAUAACAAGAGUCACGUGUGACUCCCUGCAUGUACCGUAUGAAUAAGCAGCGGCUAACUCCGUG
RNAcentral lists this ribosomal RNA (490 nucleotides) under uncultured bacterium. RNAcentral describes it as "partial 16S ribosomal RNA". It matches the Rfam family "Bacterial small subunit ribosomal RNA", at positions 28 to 507 of the family's 1533-position model. The record is from RNAcentral.